Molecule: non-coding RNA, 67 nt
Organism: Cavia porcellus (domestic guinea pig)
Lineage: Eukaryota; Metazoa; Chordata; Mammalia; Rodentia; Caviidae
Source: Rfam
GGUUUAGCUCAGUGGCAUAAGCACCUGCCUUGCAAGCUGGCAGUCGUGGGUUCGAUUCCCGGUACCA